This 81-nucleotide transfer RNA is filed under the name Trichonephila inaurata madagascariensis. RNAcentral describes it as "tRNA-Thr". Lineage: Eukaryota; Metazoa; Arthropoda; Arachnida; Araneae; Nephilidae. The record is from RNAcentral.
GUCCUGCCGCCCAGCCAGUAUGGUGGAUAUGACCCUCGGCUUGUAACCGAGUGGGUUCGGAUUCGAAUCCCGAGUAAGACA